CAACAAGCUUGCUUGUUGGGGUUGUAGGACACUCUAUACGGAGUUACAAAGGACGACAUUAGACGAAUCAUCUGGAAAGAUGAAUCAAAGAAGGUAAUAAUCCUGUAGUCGAAAAUGUUGUCUCUCUUGAGUGGAUCCUGAGUACGACGGAGCACGUGAAAUUCCGUCGGAAUCUGGGAGGACCAUCUCCUAAGGCUAAAUACUCUCUAGUGACCGAUAGUGAACCAGUACCGUGAGGGAAAGGUGAAAAGCACCCCGGAAGGGGAGUGAAAUAGAACCUGAAACCGUGUGCUUACAAGUAGUCAGAGCCCGUUAAUGGGUGAUGGCGUGCCUUUUGUAGAAUGAACCGGCGAGUUACGAUUUGAUGCAAGGUUAAGCAGUAAAUGUGGAGCCGUAGCGAAAGCGAGUCUGAAUAGGGCGUUUAGUAUUUGGUCGUAGACCCGAAACCAGGUGAUCUACCCUUGGUCAGGUUGAAGUUCAGGUAACACUGAAUGGAGGACCGAACCGACUUACGUUGAAAAGUGAGCGGAUGAACUGAGGGUAGCGGAGAAAUUCCAAUCGAACCUGGAGAUAGCUGGUUCUCUCCGAAAUAGCUUUAGGGCUAGCCUCAAGUGAUGAUUAUUGGAGGUAGAGCACUGUUUGGACGAGGGGCCCCUCUCGGGUUACCGAAUUCAGACAAACUCCGAAUGCCAAUUAAUUUAACUUGGGAGUCAGAACAUGGGUGAUAAGGUCCGUGUUCGAAAGGGAAACAGCCCAGACCACCAGCUAAGGUCCCAAAAUAUAUGUUAAGUGGAAAAGGAUGUGGCGUUGCCCAGACAACUAGGAUGUUGGCUUAGAAGCAGCCAUCAUUUAAAGAGUGCGUAAUAGCUCACUAGUCGAGUGACACUGCGCCGAAAAUGUACCGGGGCUAAACAUAUUACCGAAGCUGUGGAUUGUCCUUUGGACAAUGGUAGGAGAGCGUUCUAAGGGCGUUGAAGCAUGAUCGUAAGGACAUGUGGAGCGCUUAGAAGUGAGAAUGCCGGUGUGAGUAGCGAAAGACGGGUGAGAAUCCCGUCCACCGAUUGACUAAGGUUUCCAGAGGAAGGCUCGUCCGCUCUGGGUUAGUCGGGUCCUAAGCUGAGGCCGACAGGCGUAGGCGAUGGAUAACAGGUUGAUAUUCCUGUACCACCUAUAAUCGUUUUAAUCGAUGGGGGGACGCAGUAGGAUAGGCGAAGCGUGCGAUUGGAUUGCACGUCUAAGCAGUAAGGCUGAGUAUUAGGCAAAUCCGGUACUCGUUAAGGCUGAGCUGUGAUGGGGAGAAGACAUUGAGUCUUCGAGUCGUUGAUUUCACACUGCCGAGAAAAGCCUCUAGAUAGAAAAUAGGUGCCCGUACCGCAAACCGACACAGGUAGUCAAGAUGAGAAUUCUAAGGUGAGCGAGCGAACUCUCGUUAAGGAACUCGGCAAAAUGACCCCGUAACUUCGGGAGAAGGGGUGCUCUUUAGGGUUAACGCCCAGAAGAGCCGCAGUGAAUAGGCCCAAGCGACUGUUUAUCAAAAACACAGGUCUCUGCUAAACCGUAAGGUGAUGUAUAGGGGCUGACGCCUGCCCGGUGCUGGAAGGUUAAGAGGAGUGGUUAGCUUCUGCGAAGCUACGAAUCGAAGCCCCAGUAAACGGCGGCCGUAACUAUAACGGUCCUAAGGUAGCGAAAUUCCUUGUCGGGUAAGUUCCGACCCGCACGAAAGGCGUAACGAUUUGGGCACUGUCUCAACGAGAGACUCGGUGAAAUCAUAGUACCUGUGAAGAUGCAGGUUACCCGCGACAGGACGGAAAGACCCCGUGGAGCUUUACUGUAGCCUGAUAUUGAAAUUCGGCACAGCUUGUACAGGAUAGGUAGGAGCCUUUGAAACGUGAGCGCUAGCUUACGUGGAGGCGCUGGUGGGAUACUACCCUAGCUGUGUUGGCUUUCUAACCCGCACCACUUAUCGUGGUGGGAGACAGUGUCAGGCGGGCAGUUUGACUGGGGCGGUCGCCUCCUAAAAGGUAACGGAGGCGCUCAAAGGUUCCCUCAGAAUGGUUGGAAAUCAUUCAUAGAGUGUAAAGGCAUAAGGGAGCUUGACUGCGAGACCUACAAGUCGAGCAGGGUCGAAAGACGGACUUAGUGAUCCGGUGGUUCCGCAUGGAAGGGCCAUCGCUCAACGGAUAAAAGCUACCCCGGGGAUAACAGGCUUAUCUCCCCCAAGAGUUCACAUCGACGGGGAGGUUUGGCACCUCGAUGUCGGCUCAUCGCAUCCUGGGGCUGUAGUCGGUCCCAAGGGUUGGGCUGUUCGCCCAUUAAAGCGGUACGCGAGCUGGGUUCAGAACGUCGUGAGACAGUUCGGUCCCUAUCCGUCGUGGGCGUAGGAAAUUUGAGAGGAGCUGUCCUUAGUACGAGAGGACCGGGAUGGACAUACCUCUGGUGUACCAGUUGUCGUGCCAACGGCAUAGCUGGGUAGCUAUGUGUGGACGGGAUAAGUGCUGAAAGCAUCUAAGCAUGAAGCCCCCCUCAAGAUGAGAUUUCCCAACUUCGGUUAUAAGAUCCCUCAAAGAUGAUGAGGUUAAUAGGUUCGAGGUGGAAGCAUGGUGACAUGUGGAGCUGACGAAUACUAAUCGAUCGAAGACUUAAUCAA
Molecule: ribosomal RNA, 2647 nt
Filed under: Staphylococcus aureus MISS6103
Lineage: Bacteria; Bacillati; Bacillota; Bacilli; Caryophanales; Staphylococcaceae
Description: bacterial LSU rRNA
Rfam family: Bacterial large subunit ribosomal RNA
Source: RNAcentral